RNAcentral lists this long non-coding RNA (1291 nucleotides) under Homo sapiens (human). RNAcentral's name for it is "HSALNT0316431". The record is from RNAcentral. Lineage: Eukaryota; Metazoa; Chordata; Mammalia; Primates; Hominidae.
CAGUUACACCCGGAAGUGUUCUGGGGUCGCCCCCACGGCGGCGCGGCGGAGCUCAGCCUCGAUCUCGCGAAACCGAGCGAGACUACGGAAGGCCGAAGGAUUGGGCUCAGCAUUGCUUGGGCUAAAGGCUGACUAGGGCUUCCAGGAAGUGAUGCUUGAGUGCAGUGGCACGAUCUUGGCUCACUGCAACCUCCACCUCCCGAGUUCAAGCGAUUCUCCUGCCUCACCCUCCUGAGUAGCUGGGACUACAGGCCUGCGCCACCACACCUGGCUAACUUCUGAAUAUCAAGCUGAAAUUACUAUCAGAUAUCUUGCCACCACAUAGAGGCUUUGAGUGAAGUCUGCAUGGAGGAGAACAGAGCUGAGAGAUGGAAAGAUACUGAAUCCCAGUGACGUCCUUUGAGAUGUCGGAUCAAGCUGAGCUGGGCAUGAAGAUAGAGCUACUCCUAUACUUUUAAGAUACCAAUAACAAGCAAGAUUCAGAAGUCCAACAAGUAAGACAUUGAUUUCAUUAAGAGAGAACUAGUAAGCAAGCUAUUUGGGAAGUACACUCUCAUAAGAAUAUUGUUUCAUGAAGUCUUGAGCAACAAAGGAAAUAGUCCAUGAAGUGCACUGCUGUCAGACUCCCUCUAAGAAUACUUCAACUGCUCAUGAAGCGGGGGGCCUUAACUAUUUACUUCUUUUGGAAGCCUCCAUCUGGCCCAUCUAUCUUUAUUCUCCCAGGAUCACAGGCAGAACACCUGAGCCACAGUAUCAGAACUAGGGUUGGAAGCCUGCUUUUCCUGGAAUGAAACCCCUCACUCUUCAAGUGUCCAGGAGACAAGAGUCAUUGUGCAAGCCUAUCUCUAGAGAGGCUAACAGACUCUUUCUGGCUUUGAAAGAAACAAGCUGCCAUAUUGAAACAAGCUGCCAUAUUAUGUGUGAGCUGCCCUAAGGAAAGACACACAUGGUAAGGAAGAGAGGAUGACCUCUGGCUGAUAGGCAGCAAGAAACUAAGGACCUCAGUCUGAGAACCUGCAAGGAGCUGAAUUCUUCCAAUUACCAUGUGAGCUUGGAAGCAGCUCCUUCCCCAGUCAAGCCUCAGAUGAGACCCCAGCCCUGGCCAACACCUUGAUUGCAGCCUCUUAUGAAGAUUGUAGUCCCUAAGCAGAAAAUCCAGAUAACCUGUGCCCAGAUUGCUGAGCCACAGAAAUUCACUGAGAUAAUAAACGUGUGUUUCAAGCUGCUGAAUUUGUGGUAAUUUGUUGAAAACUAAUAGGUAACUAACAGAUAAUGUAUGCCCUGUUCUUUA